AUUUUAAUAACUUUCUUAAACUAUCCUGGGUUUGUACCAAACUUGGACAGAAGCUUGUUUAUGAUCAUUAGAUAGUAUCCAUAAGUAAAUUUUGUAAAUAAAUAAAUCCAUUUUUUCCAUAUUUUACUUUUAAAUGGACUUAGUUUUUCUGCUGGGAACCAUUACAUUCACUCUGUGGUUAAAGUUUUUAAAAUUUUAAUAACUUCCUUAAACUAUCCUGGGUUUGUACAAAACUUGAACAGAAGCUUAUUUAUGAUCAUAAGAUUGUAUCCAGAAGUAAAGUUUGUAAAA
Molecule: long non-coding RNA, 291 nt
Filed under: Mytilus galloprovincialis (Mediterranean mussel)
Lineage: Eukaryota; Metazoa; Mollusca; Bivalvia; Mytilida; Mytilidae
Source: RNAcentral